GGAAAACAUAACUUUUUGUUUUGUUAUAAAGAAAUAGUGGAAAACAAUUUAAAAAUAUUUUUGAAAAACUGGAAAGUUAGUUUUUAAGUUCUUUAUUUAGAAAACUGGUAUACAUAUAACUCUUUUUUCAGUUUUCUUAGAAAACUUUUUCAAAAAAAUUACUUCAGUUUUCUAGGCCUGGGGAUAACAUUGCCAUUUGCCACCUAGUUUAGACUCACUUUCUUCUGUGAAUAAGGGGAGAAUUUCUAAGUUGAUUUCGUCUGUGAGGAAGCAUAAUCAAUAUGAUACUUUAAUCUAUUGUGAUUUUCCUGUCAUGUCUCCUUGCAUUUUUACUUUGUGCUCGUCAACAGUUGUUGAGAGUUCCACCCAUCUUUUGGUCAAAUAAUUAGCUGGAAAAAUUCUGCUCGUUUCUUUCUAUCUUAGCAUUGGGAGGUAGCACCGAAUGAAGUUUGAUUGUGAAGAAC
This 464-nucleotide unclassified non-coding RNA is filed under the name Hevea brasiliensis (rubber tree). The record is from RNAcentral. Lineage: Eukaryota; Viridiplantae; Streptophyta; Magnoliopsida; Malpighiales; Euphorbiaceae.